GUGCAUAGGGGGGUCUUACCAUGACAGUCGAGCGGUAAGGCCCUUCGGGGUACACGAGCGGCGAACGGGUGAGUAACACGUGAGCAACCUGCCCCCGACUCCGGGAUAAGCGGUGGAAACGCCGUCUAAUACCGGAUACGACCGGCCACCUCAUGGCGGCCGGUGGAAAGUUUUUCGGUUGGGGAUGGGCUCGCGGCCUAUCAGCUUGUUGGUGGGGUAAAGGCCUACCAAGGCGAUUACGGGUAGCCGGCCUGAGAGGGCGACCGGCCACACUGGGACUGAGACACGGCCCAGACUCCUGCGGGAGGCAGCAGUGGGGAAUAUUGCGCAAUGGGCGAAAGCCUGACGCAGCGACGCCGCGUGGGGGAUGACGGCCUUCGGGUUGUAAACCUCUUUUACCACCAACGCAGGCUCCCAGUUCUCUGGGGGUUGACGGUAGGUGGGGAAUAAGGACCGGCUAACUACGUGCCAGCAGCCGCGGUAAUACGUAGGGUCCGAGCGUUGUCCGGAAUUAUUGGGCGUAAAGAGCUCGUAGGCGGCGUGUCGCGUCUGCUGUGAAAGACCGGGGCUUAACCCCGGUUCUGCAGUGGAUACGGGCAUGCUAGAGGUAGGUAGGGGAGACUGGAAUUCCUGGUGUAGCGGUGAAAUGCGCAGAUAUCAGGAGGAACACCGGUGGCGAAGGCGGGUCUCUGGGCCUUACCUGACGCUGAGGAGCGAAAGCAUGGGGAGCGAACAGGAUUAGAUACCCUGGUAGUCCAUGCCGUAAACGUUGGGCGCUAGGUGUGGGGACUUUCCACGGUUUCCGCGCCGUAGCUAACGCAUUAAGCGCCCCGCCUGGGGAGUACGGCCGCAAGGCUAAAACUCAAAGGAAUUGACGGGGGCCCGCACAAGCGGCGGAGCAUGUUGCUUAAUUCGACGCAACGCGAAGAACCUUACCAAGGUUUGACAUCACCCGUGGACCUGCAGAGAUGUGGGGUCAUUUAGUUGGUGGGUGACAGGU
Molecule: ribosomal RNA, 1000 nt
Filed under: Nocardiopsis sp. ZZY-2013
Lineage: Bacteria; Bacillati; Actinomycetota; Actinomycetes; Streptosporangiales; Nocardiopsidaceae
Description: bacterial SSU rRNA
Rfam family: Bacterial small subunit ribosomal RNA
Source: RNAcentral